GACGAACGCUGGCGGCGUGCUUAACACAUGCAAGUCGAACGGAAAGGCCCUGCUUUUGUGGGGUGCUCGAGUGGCGAACGGGUGAGUAACACGUGAGUAACCUGCCCUUGACUUUGGGAUAACUUCAGGAAACUGGGGCUAAUACCGGAUAGGAGCUCCUGCUGCAUGGUGGGGGUUGGAAAGUUUCGGCGGUUGGGGAUGGACUCGCGGCUUAUCAGCUUGUUGGUGGGGUAGUGGCUUACCAAGGCUUUGACGGGUAGCCGGCCUGAGAGGGUGGCCGGCGACAAUAGGCCUGAGAGACGGACCAGACUCGAACAUGAGGCAAUGGUGGGGAGCAUGACACAGUGAGAGGGAGCCGGAUGAAGCAACGCCGCGUGCGGGAUGCCGUCCUGUGGGUAGUGAACCGCUUCCGGCUGUGACGAAGCGUGAGUGACGGUAAUGGGUGAAGAAGCACCGGCUAACUACGUG
Molecule: ribosomal RNA, 468 nt
Filed under: uncultured bacterium
Lineage: Bacteria
Description: partial 16S ribosomal RNA
Rfam family: Bacterial small subunit ribosomal RNA
Source: RNAcentral